RNAcentral lists this ribosomal RNA (465 nucleotides) under uncultured bacterium. Its description in RNAcentral is "partial 16S ribosomal RNA". It matches the Rfam family "Bacterial small subunit ribosomal RNA", at positions 28 to 507 of the family's 1533-position model. The record is from RNAcentral.
GACGAACGCUGGCGGCGGGCUUAACACAUGCAAGUCGAACGGAAAGGCCCCUUUGCGGGUACUCGGGUAGCAAACGGGUGGGUAACACGUUAUUAACCUGCCCUUGACUGCGGGAUAACUUCAGGAAACUGGUGCGAAUACCGGAGAGGAAUCCUUGCUGCAUGGUGUGGGUUGGAAAGCGUAGGCGGUUUUGGAUGGACUCGCGGCUUAUCAGCUUGUUGGUGGGGUAGUGGCUUACCAAGGCUUUGACGGGUAGCCGGCCGGAGAGGGCGACCGGCCACAUUGGGACUGGGACACGGCCCAGACUCCUACGGGAGGCAGCAGUGGGGGAUAUUGAAAAAUGGGCAGAAGCCUGAUGCAGCAACGCCCAGUGCGGGAUGACGGCCUUCGGGUUGGAAUCCGCUUUCAGCAGGGGCGAAGCUUGUGGUGACGGUACCUGCAGAAGAAGCCCCGGCUAACUACGUG